Molecule: ribosomal RNA, 492 nt
Filed under: uncultured bacterium
Lineage: Bacteria
Description: partial 16S ribosomal RNA
Rfam family: Bacterial small subunit ribosomal RNA
Source: RNAcentral
AGUGAACGCUGGCGGUAGGCCUAACACAUGCAAGUCGAACGGCAGCACAGUAAGAGCUUGCUCUUACGGGUGGCGAGUGGCGGACGGGUGAGGUAUACAUCGGAAUCUACUUUUUCGUGGGGGAUAACGUAGGGAAACUUACGCUAAUACCGCAUACGACCUACGGGUGAAAGCAGGGGAUCUUCGGACCUUGCGCGAUUGAAUGAGCCGAUGUCGGAUUAGCUAGUUGGCGGGGUAAAGGCCCACCAAGGCGACGAUCCGUAGCUGGUCUGAGAGAAUGAUCAGCCACACUGGAACUGAGACACGGACCAGACUCCUACGGGAGGCAGCAGUGGGGAAUAUUGGACAAUGGGCGCAAGCCUGAUCCAGCGAUACCGCGUGGGUGAAGAAGGCCUUCGGGUUGUAAAGCCCUUUUGUUGGGAAAGAAAAGCAGCAGGUUAAUACCCCGCUGUUCUGACGGUACCCAAAGAAUAAGCACCGGCUAACUUCGUG